AGCCAGCAGCCGCGGUAAUACGGAGGGGGCAAGCGUUGUUCGGAUUUACUGGGCGUAAAGCGUGUGUAGGCGGCUGGGCAAGUCUGGUGUGAAAUCUUCACCGCUCAACGGGAAGAGGUCACUGGAAACUGCUCAGCUCGAGUGUGGUAGAGGCAAGCGGAAUUCCUGGUGUAGCGGUGGAAUGUGUAGAUAUCAGGAAGAACACCGGUGGCGAAGGCGGCUUGCUGGGCCACUACUGACGCUGAGACACGAAAGCGUGGGGAGCAAACGGGAUUAGAUACCCCGGUAGUCCACGCUGUAAACGGUGCGCACUAGGUGUGAGGGGUAUCGACCCCCCUCGUGCCGACGUUAACACAUUAAGUGCGCCGCCUGGGGAGUACGGCCGCAAGGUUGAAACUCAAAGGAAUUGACGGGGGCCCGCACAAGC
This 427-nucleotide ribosomal RNA is filed under the name uncultured bacterium. RNAcentral describes it as "bacterial SSU rRNA". It matches the Rfam family "Bacterial small subunit ribosomal RNA", at positions 506 to 930 of the family's 1533-position model. The record is from RNAcentral.